UAAGGUGUAUGUAAACUUCCGACUUCAACUGUAGCAUGGGUGACCAAGGAAAAACAAAUUGAUACAGUGUUAGGCAACGUGGCAAACAAUAAUGCAGGCACUAAGGAUAGGGGUGUGAACAUGUGGAUCUGGGCAGAAUAGAUGUAGUUAUUUUUUGUGUGCGUCUUGUAAUUGUUGUUCGUAUGUGUAAGUUAGUAUAUGCAGUGUAUUUAAAAAUAUUAUUAAAAGAAAAUUGUCACAACUAUUUUCUGAUAAGUAUAUACUAUUAUAAAUAAUGACAGUAUAAGCAUGGAUGAUGAUUACCUUAUUUGCCUUAUUGAGUAAUUGAAACUUUGCCAAAGAGUGUAGUAGACUGAUAUUUCUUCUUUGUUUAUUGGACUCAUCCAUUGUCUCCUAUACUUGAGUAGGAUUUAGAUUGGUUAUUGUCAAUUACCAAACCAGUUAAAACAACACCUUAAUUUAAUUUACCAUUCCCUAGGAAAGUAAUGUGAUGUGAAGAAUGUAGUGAGAUAUUUUCAGGUCCCUUGAGAUGAACACAGACAGACCAAUGUUUACCAACACCGUUUAUAUAUCCAAUCAUGUGACUAGAAUGGAAACCAACAGACUCAAAACGUUCCUAAUGUCUGGAAAAUAAAAAUUGAACAUUUGUCUGUUACGAGCCUAUCCCUUCUCCUCCUCCUCCUCCCCCUAUUUUUCCUCCCUCUCUCCUAACGGAGGGCAUAGAGCACUAAGAGAAGCAGUCCCCUCCCUGUUGUCUUUAACCUGUCUUUCACCUCCCUCUUAGGACUGGUAAGUACAGGGGCUGUGUCUGGACUUGAAGGGCUGACUCCUAUCUCCUUCUGCCAAAACGUACUGCUAACUCAUCAUAUUAACUCCUACUAAUUCCUCCUGCGGACUCCUCCUGCUAACUCCCUCUGAUAUCUCUCUGUUAGUCCUAGUAACUCCUCCUGCUAACUCCCUCUGAUAUCCCUCUGUUAGUCCUAGUAACUACUCCUGCUAACUCCCUCUGAUAUCUCUCUGUUAGUCCUAGUAACUCCUCCUGCUAACUCCCUCUGAUAUCUCUCUGUUAGUCCUAGUAACUCCUCCUGCUAACUCCCUCUGAUAUCUCUCUGUUAGUCCUAGUAACUCCUCCUGCUAACUCCCUCUGAUAUCUCUCUGUUAGUCCUAGUAACUACUCCUGCUAACUCCCUCUGAUAUCUCUCUGUUAGUCCUAGUAACUCCUCCUGCUAACUCCCUCUGAUAUCUCUCUGUUAGUCCUAGUAACUCCUCCUGCUAACUCCCUCUGAUAUCUCUCUGUUAGUCCUAGUAACUCCUCCUGCUAACUCCCUCUGAUAUCUCUCUGUGAGUCCUAGUAACUCCUCCUGCUAACUCCCUCUGAUAUCUCUCUGUGAGUCCUAGUAACUCCUCCUGCUAACUCCCUCUGAUAUCUCUCUGUUAGUCCUAGUAACUCCUCCUGCUAACUCCCUCUGAUAUCUCUCUGUUAGUACUAGUAACUCCUCCUGUUAACUCCCUCUGAUAUCUCUCUGUUAGUCCUAGUAACUCCUCCUGCUAACUCCCUCUGAUAUCUCUCUGUGAGUACUAGUAACUCCUCCUGCUAACUCCCUCUGAUAUUUCUCUGUGAGUCCUAGUAACUCCUCCUGCUAACUCCCUCUGAUAUCUUUCUGUUAGUCCUAGUAACUCCUCCUGCUAACUCCCUCUGAUAUCUCUCUGUUAGUCCUAGUAACUCCUCCUGCUAACUCCCUCUGAUAUCUCUCUGUGAGUCCUAGUAACUCCUCCUGCUAACUCCCUCUGAUAUCUCUCUGUGAGUCCUAGUAACUCCUCCUGCUAACUCCCUCUGAUAUCUCUCUGUUAGUCCUAGUAACUCCUCCUGCUAACUCCCUCUGAUAUCUCUCUGUUAGUCCUAGUAACUCCUCCUGCUAACUCCCUCUGAUAUCUCUCUGUUAGUCCUAGUAACUCCUCCUGCUAACUCCCUCUGAUAUCUCUCUGUGAGUCCUAGUAACUCCUCCUGCUAACUCCCUCUGAUAUCUCUCUGUGAGUCCUAGUAACUCCUCCUGCUAACUCCCUCUGAUAUCUCUCUGUGAGUCCUAGUAACUCCUCCUGCUAACUCCCUCUGAUAUCUCUCUGUUAGUACUAGUAACUCCUCCUGCUAACUCCCUCUGAUAUCUCUCUGUUAGUCCUAGUAACUCCUCCUGCUAACUCCCUCUGAUAUCUCUCUGUGAGUACUAGUAACUCCUCCUGCUAACUCCCUCUGAUAUUUCUCUGUGAGUCCUAGUAACUCCUCCUGCUAACUCCCUCUGAUAUCUCUCUGUUAGUCCUAGUAACUACUCCUGCUAACUCCCUCUGAUAUCUCUCUGUUAGUCCUAGUAACUACUCCUGCUAACUCCCUCUGAUAUCUCUCUGUUAGUCCUAGUAACUCCUCCUGCUAACUCCCUCUGAUAUCCCUCUGUUAGUCCUAGUAACUCCUCCUGCUAACUCCCUCUGAUAUCUCUCUGUUAGUCCUAGUAACUCCUCCUGCUAACUCCCUCUGAUAUCUCUCUGUUAGUCCUAGUAACUCCUCCUGCUAACUCCCUCUGAUAUCCCUCUGUUAGUCCUAGUAACUCCUCCUGCUAACUCCCUCUGAUAUCCCUCUGUUAGUCCUAGUAACUACUCCUGCUAACUCCCUCUGAUAUCUCUCUGCUAGUCCUAGUAACUCCUCCUGCUAACGCCCUCUGAUAUCCCUCUGUUAGUCCUAGUAACUCCUCCUGCUAACUCCCUCUGAUAUCCCUCUGUUAGUCCUAGUAACUCCUCCUGCUAACUCCCUCUGAUAUCCCUCUGUUAGUCCUAGUAACUCCUCCUGCUAACUCCCUCUGAUAUCCCUCUGUUAGUCCUAGUAACUCCUCCUGCUAACUCCCUCUGAUAUCUCUCUGUUAGUCCUAGUAACUCCUCCUGCUAACUCCCUCUGAUAUCUCUCUGUUAGUACUAGUAACUCCUCCUGUUAACUCCCUCUGAUAUCUCUAUGUUAGUCCUAGUAUCUCCUCCUGCUAACUCCCUCUGAUAUCUCUCUGUGAGUACUAGUAACUCCUCCUGCUAACUCCCUCUGAUAUCUCUCUGUGAGUACUAGUAACUCCUCCUGCUAACUCCCUCUGAUAUCUCUCUGUUAGUAUUAGUAACUCCUCCUGCUAACUCCCUCUGAUAUCUCUCUGUUAGUCCUAGUAACUCCUCCUGCUAACUCCCUCUGAUAUCUCUCUGUGAGUACUAGUAACUCCUCCUGCUAACUCCCUCUGAUAUCUCUCUGUUAGUACUAGUAUCUCCUCCUGCUAACUCCCUCUGAUAUCUCUCUGUUAGUCCUAGUAACUCCUCCUGCUAACUCCCUCUGAUAUCUCUCUGUUAGUACUAGUAACUCCUCCUGCUAACUCCCUCUGAUAUCUCUCUGUUAGUACUAGUAACUCCUCCUGCUAUGUCCUUCUACUCCUAGGUCGCUGGGAGCAGCAGUAUGCAGUAGCAGAGCAGCACAUCUUGUUUACUAGGCCAAAGGUCCUCUCUCUCAGCAGCCAGCCUGUCAAACCAGCCACCAACUUCACACAAUUCAACAUAAACCCUAUUCACAAAGCAGAGGGUUUGGGUUUGGUUCAAAGCAGUGGUUUGGUUCAAAGCAAUGGGUUUGGUUCAGAAUGUUGGUUCAAUUAAUAUUAUAUUCUUACGCCAUCACCAACAUAAAUUAUUAUAUGAAUACAGAUUAUAAAUGAUAGUCAAUGGACUGGCAAACGACAACCUUUUCUUGCAACCCUCAAUUGAUUUCCCUCUAUUCUCCCUGUUCCUAUGUGGAUUGAUCCCAGGCUGUGUGAGCUGGUCCCGGACUGCUAGGGGAUGUUCAGUGUGGUCCAGCUCCACACCCUGCCAGGACCUCCUUCACCUCUACACCAGGAGGUCAGAGAGAGUCGCACACACACCUACGGACACAGAUUCACACACACACACACACACACAGACACACACAUACACACCAUCUAAUGUAGGCCGUUUCACCUGAACUUCAACUUAGGGCUACAGACUAUUGUUAGUCCAAGGUUUGUAUUUUCCUGUACACAUGUAUUUAUUAAGAUUUUAGUGAUUAUUUGCGAGUCUCCCUAGCAGGGCCAACACAGCUCUGGACUAAGGCCUGUGAUAUCUGAUAUCCGAGCCUGAAGCUAAAGCUACAAAAACAGGAACUGUGAAUGAUCAAUAGCUGCCAAAUGUGUCGCCAAUAUGAAAGCCAUGGACAGUUUCCACUGCAAUCAUUUAACCUAUGUACCUCUCAUAAGAACUUUCCAUCCUGAGUUCAAGAUGGCCGCCCACUGAUCAUCCUGCCAUGUCACUGUCCCAUGUUUACAUGUAAAGUGAUACAUCAUCGGUGCACGCACUGAUCCUAUGAGUUACUUUCCACAGUCAGGAGCUCAGAUUAGUAACAGUUUAGGAACUGGCGUGGGGACAUUUAGAGGAGGGGUUAGAGUGCAUCCCAUAAUUUCGCAGGGUGUUGUCUGCAGUCAGCCAUGAUGGAUAUAUCACCUUCAGGAGCAAAAACAAAGGCCCAAUCCCAAAUCGACCCCUAAGCCCUGUGCCCAUGUGGAGAUCUGAGAGGAUUGGACAGGUGAAAGCAAUACGGUGAAACUUCCACCUAGCCUAUCAGAGGUCAAGGUGGUGUGAUAACCAUAUUACGUACACCUGUUAAAUCCUCUCAGAUCUCCAGAAGUGCAUAGGGUUUAGGAGUCAAUUUGGGAUUGCACCAAACAGAUGUAGCCACCAUCUUAUACUCUGUGCAAAAGAAAACAUCCAUGUCAUAUACAAUAGCUGGUGUUCAAUCUUUUAAAAAGCCUCUCUAUCAAGGCUUAAAUAAGUGUUAUUAAUCAUUUGUUGGCACUUAAAAACCUCCAUAUUUUAACCAUCAUUAAAUCAACAAUUACAUAACGCUGAUGUAAUGAUGUACAGUCAGUUUAAGAUAAAUGUUAGUGUUGUCCUUGACUCCCCCUUUUCAGCACUCACAUACUCCCACAUGUAGAAAGCUACAAUAACGCUACAUUCAGAUCUCAGUAACAAAAUAACGUGUGAGGUGAGCUCGGUCUUUACCCUGACCUGUUGGACCAGCCUGGGCUGCAGAGCCAGUUAUGUACACAGAUACCCUGUGAUUAGGACCUGGGGAACUGGUUCCUAACAACAGACUGAGUGACAGCAUGAGGAGGAAUAGCAACGUCAACUCCACCUUUCACACACUGACUAACUGGUGGUCCUGAACUCAAAAAGGACAAGUUUAAUUCAGUUUGGUUUUGGGGUGGGGAUGCUAUCGCUUUUUUUCAGGUUUUGCGACAUCCAGACCCUCAGCCAUCAAAACUGUCAAUUGAAACCAAUAGAAGUCAUACUUGUUUUUGUGUGUGAUUUACAUAGGGUGUUUGUUCUAAGUUCCACUUUUCAGUGUGUGUGAGAUUGAUAGUGAUAAAGGGAGGUGUGUGUGUGUAUCACACCAGUCUCAGCAUGCUUUCUGUUGAUUCUGUAAAACUAUAAAGUGCCCUACCUUAACAGAUCUGUGAUUCCAUAGAAGUGAAAUGAACUGUGAUGUUGUUGCACCUCCCUCCCUGUAUAGCUUGUACCUCACUGUCUUCUUCAUCUUCUCUCUCGCAGGUAUAACAGACUCUUACCUGACAGACAAUCUGGCCACCUGUGAUACCACUCUAAUUUAUAUUGAGAACCCAUGGUAUUGUGGUUCAUUUAUGUGAGCAUAAGAAACUGCCUAUGCAAACUCUCUGUACUGACUGAAUUAAAGCUCAGACACACCGGUAGGAUUGUCAAACGUUUGCCUGCCGACAGUACUUAGCACCUCUGAACAGUGUCGGGAGUCAAUCUCUUUUGUGUUCAAACAGCAAAGACCUUGGAAGUCGACAGCUUUUAUCCCCUCUAUACCUGCCUCCUACACAACAAACCCUGAGACAUACUGCAAGUAACUAGUGACACACACAUACACACAGAACUGAAGUCUAACCCAACUCAACAGUUUGAGAUGCUUUCGUCUCUCCUCCUUGUUUUUACCUCCCCAACUAUUCCUCCAAACGUGUAUUGAGUUGUUAACUCCAGAUUACACCAUUUUCCUUUACUCUGACUCUUUGUUGAACCUGUAGAAAUCAAAUAUGCAUUGUUGAAAGUAACUACCUGUUAUAUGUUUCAGUGUGAGCUGAGCAGCCAUCGCUUCAGCUGUCAUCCACAAAUAAAAUGCAGUCUCAAUGUAGUGAUGUGGGUCAGUCUGCAGCAGCAGCCCGGGGGGUUGCAUUCAUCUUAAUACAGCAAGGUUUGUGCGUGGAUCCUGUGCGUGGAGCAGUCAUUUGUGCAGCCUUUGGUAUCUGUGUGAUGCCCAGAUACUGAGAGCACAGUGGGCCCAUGGUCACUAGCAUUGUCUCAGACCCACUACUUACCUCAGCCUCUACCUCAAGCCCAGCCCAGGCUUUACCAUAGCCUGUGAGGCUUGAUCCUCUGAGCCCAGAAACACCACCUAACUCUCUUUGCAUGUUCUCGGGGUGUGAUAGUUGGUGUGGAUGAGGACAUAGCCUACUCCUGGCCAGUCUGCAGCUUAUGUGGGAGUGACUGCUUGGAGAUGGCACCCCAAAAGCUCUCCAGCAGAGCACCAUCAUGCCUGUGUGUUACUCUGCAGCCUCUGGCCAUGAGGGGAGUUCUCUCUUGCUCACCUGUUACGUAAUAUACGGUUGCAAGAUGGAGAAUGUGUUGGGGAGGGAGGUGGGCCCCAUCAGCGCUUACAUCCGUGUGGUCACCAGGAAACCUGCCCCGUGCAUCGGCCUGGAAGACAUCUGCCUCUGAGGCUGUCAAAGUGGGGAGUGGGACCCCAUGAAAUACAUCUGUAAGACUGAGGCCUCUUCAGCCCAGCCCCACAAGCUCUCUCUGUACAGAAUGUGAAUAAUUGGUGAAAAAAUAGAUAUGUUUGUGUGUUACUGAUGGGUUAAGACCCAGGAGCUGACAGCCCAAGGUUAGAACUGAUGGACCAGAGAGGAGCAACAUAUGUCAAACUUGGCCCACGUGGGUCCAACUGGUGACUGUAAAAUAUACCUGUUUGCUGUAAAUAGCCACACGUUUCUCUGUUUCCUUGAAUAUCUACCUCCUAAUAUAUUUCUGAGGUACUUAUACUCUGUCAAUAAACAUUGUAUUAUGCUA
Long non-coding RNA from Oncorhynchus kisutch (coho salmon), 7167 nucleotides. RefSeq lists it as uncharacterized. The record is from RefSeq and is a predicted model, not a curated record. The transcript is spliced from 6 exons. Lineage: Eukaryota; Metazoa; Chordata; Actinopteri; Salmoniformes; Salmonidae.